GACGAACGCUGGCGGCGUGCCUAAUACAUGCAAGUCGAACGAGAGCGACCGGUGCUUGCACUGGUCAAUCUAGUGGCGAACGGGUGAGUAACACGUGGGUAACCUGCCCAUCAGAGGGGGAUAACAUCCGGAAACGGAUGCUAAAACCGCAUAGGUCUUCGAACCGCAUGGUUUGAAGAGGAAAAGAGGCGCAAGCUUCUGCUGAUGGAUGGACCCGCGGUGCAUUAGCUAGUUGGUGAGGUAACGACUCACCAAGGCCGUGAUGCAUAGCCGACCUGAGAGGGUGAUCGGCCACAUUGGGACUGAGACACGGCCCAAACUCCUACGGGAGGCAGCAGUAGGGAAUCUUCCGCAAUGGACGCAAGUCUGACGGAGCAACGCCGCGUGAGCGAAGAAGGUUUUCGGAUCGUAAAACUCUGUUGUUAGAGAAGAACAAGUGCUAGAGUAACUGUUAGCGCCUUGACGGUAUCUAACCAGAAAGCCACGGCUAACUACGUG
This 498-nucleotide ribosomal RNA is filed under the name uncultured bacterium. RNAcentral's name for it is "partial 16S ribosomal RNA". It matches the Rfam family "Bacterial small subunit ribosomal RNA", at positions 28 to 507 of the family's 1533-position model. The record is from RNAcentral.